This 509-nucleotide ribosomal RNA is filed under the name uncultured bacterium. RNAcentral describes it as "bacterial SSU rRNA". It matches the Rfam family "Bacterial small subunit ribosomal RNA", at positions 30 to 526 of the family's 1533-position model. The record is from RNAcentral.
AUUGAACGCUGGCGGCAGGCCUAACACAUGCAAGUCGGGCGGUAACAGGGAGAAGCUUGCUUCUCUGCUGACGAGCGGCGGACGGGUGAGUAAUGUAUGGGGAUCUGCCUGAUGGCGGGGGAUAACUACUGGAAACGGUAGCUAAUACCGCAUAAUGUCUUCGGACCCAAGCGGGGGACCUCAGGGCCUCGCGCCAUCAGAUGAACCCAUAUGGGAUUAGCUAGUAGGUAAGGUAACGGCUUACCUAGGCGACGAUCCCUAGCUGGUCUGAGAGGAUGAUCAGCCACACUGGGACUGAGACACGGCCCAGACUCCUACGGGAGGCAGCAGUGGGGAAUAUUGCACAAUGGGCGCAAGCCUGAUGCAGCCAUGCCGCGUGUAUGAAGAAGGCCUUCGGGUUGUAAAGUACUUUCAGUCGGGAGGAAGGUGUCAAGGUUAAUAACCUUGGCAAUUGACGUUACCGACAGAAGAAGCACCGGCUAACUCCGUGCCAGCAGCCGCAGUAACAC